RNAcentral lists this ribosomal RNA (292 nucleotides) under uncultured bacterium. RNAcentral's name for it is "partial 16S ribosomal RNA". It matches the Rfam family "Bacterial small subunit ribosomal RNA", at positions 505 to 796 of the family's 1533-position model. The record is from RNAcentral.
GUGUCAGCAGCCGCGGUAAUACGAGUGCCCCAAGCGUUAUCCGGAAUUAUUGGGCGUAAAGGGUGUGUAGGUGGUUGUGUUAGUCUUCUGUUAAAUUCUUCGGCUUAACCGGGGUCCUGCAGAGGAAACGGCACGACUAGAGUGUGCGAGGGGUGAAUGGAACUCAUGGAGUAGGGGUGAAAUCCGUUGAUAUCAUGGGGAACACCAAAAGCGAAGGCAAUUCACUGGCGCAUUACUGACACUGAAACACGAAAGCGUGGGUAGCGAACGGGAUUAGAUACCCUAGUAGUCC